This is a non-coding RNA of Manis javanica (Malayan pangolin), 9533 nucleotides long. Lineage: Eukaryota; Metazoa; Chordata; Mammalia; Pholidota; Manidae. The record is from RefSeq and is a predicted model, not a curated record.
AGCCACGCAGGAGCAGGGCACUCUCCCGGCUGGAAGCCCGCUGAUGCAGUGACAAAGGGGACCUGGGCUGAGGCCCUGCUCAGGCCCAGGUUCCUGUGGUAAAGUGAGGUGAGCUCAUGUGAAGAUGUACCCGGUGAGAAGCAAAUCCGAACCCACGCUUAACACCCAGAUCCACGCUCCGCCCCGAAGGAAUGCUGAGUAACAGAAGCACCUUUUUGAAAAUGCCAUCGGUUUCCUAAAAAGCACAUAAGGAGGACACAUUUCCAGGUACCAUAGAAGAAGGCAAAACUGAAAGAUGGAGCACCCAGCAGGGGCUGAGACCAAGAACCUUAUGGGCUAUUGGAACCAGAAAUACAUCUUAGGGGAUGAGAAGCUAGCAGCUGCCUGGAGACAUUCAGGGAGUGGCAGAUGCUGUGAGCAGGUAGAGCUGGGCGGGACCAGCUCUGCAGAGCCAGGAGUGGGCCUGGGGCAUCAUCUCUGCAUACAGAUGAGCAGUGCCCGGCCUUCUGGACCAGGUGGCGCAGCAUGAAAGCCUCUGCCCACCCUGGCCUCCAAGUGUGCCUGGCGUGUGGGGCUUCAGGUCACACUGUCUGUGCUGUUUGGAAAUUUUGAGUGGGAAUUGACUGCACCCUCUAGGUCCCCAGCCCAGGGAGAAGAUCAUUUCCCAGGGAGAGGUGCCUGUACAACUGGGGGGUGUUUCUGGGACACCAGAGAAGGUCAGUUUCUGAGGAAGACGGGCUCAUGCACCUGUGGAAACUCCAAUCACAAGGAUCGACGGACUCAAGUUCCAUCUGAGGAGCUUCCGAGAAGGGAGAAAUCAAAAUGUGCCUUUGGUCAUUCAAAACACAUUUUUAAAGGGAAACAAGGUACAUAGCUCAAAUUUCCACAAUAAGACUUGAAAAAAAGGAUAAUCACAAAAUGAGAAAUAGAGUCCCUGUCAUAAAGUGAGUGGGUGUACUAGGUCUCCUGGUCUCUGCCAGCCUUCUUCUGCAGUGUUACAUCCUAGGAACAGGGACAGGUGUCACUUGACCUUGAACCUCAGUGGACUUGCAUAGUUCCUGUGCUGUGUAGGCACGUACUAUACAUGCACCUGCUGAAUGGAGAGAUUGUCGAUGUGAGUGUCCAUCAUGAGCUGCGACUUCCAGGGUGUUUAGCUAUGGACUGUGGCCGCCCCCAGUCCCUUCCACUCCAGCCAGGCCCAGGGGACCUAGCUGAGUCCACAAGGGAUCAGUGUGCAUUGCUGGAGAGGAGACCCCAGGAGGGAAAUAGCACCUCCUUCUGGGUCCAACAUUCUGCAGUGCAAGAGACCCAGUGUGCGCUGUGGAUCUCAUCACCGUGCUGGUGGAAGCCCAGAAGGUCUCCCUGGGCCGGCUGAUGCGUGCAAGCUCCCCUCAGCGGCUUCCCUGUCCAUCCGCUGCUCUCACGCCAUUUAUUGCGUUCUCUAGUCCUGUGCUAAAGAGGAUCUUUGAGGAAUGACUGAUACGGUAAUGAUCUACGGAACUUACUGUAGAUAGCAAUUAAAUAUGGCUAAUAGCCAGGUUACGCUGACACAUUAAAAGGCCCACAGGCUGCAAUUUAUGAAGACAGCCCUGCUGCCUCAUUUGUGUCUGAUGCAUUUCUCUGGUUUCUGCUUAGGAGGUCUCGUCUCAGAAGAAAAUGAUUUCUAGGCCUCCACCAGAGUCCCUCCAGUUGCCAGACCACCCAAAAUUGCUUUAGCACAGCUUUAUCACCCUCAUUGCAUCUCAUAAUGUCCUCAGGGUGCCUGCUGGCCUUUAUCUAAACGUGAGGCUCUGUCAACAUUUCUUUGUGCAGAAAAAGGCAAGUGCAAUGGAAGAGAAAUCUUAGAUAUAAUAGUGGGCAGAAUCCUCAUUCGUGUUGUAAGAUGAUCAGAUGACAAGAACGGACACUAAGUGCUGGGAUCCCUGUCCUAAACUUUGUUGAUGCCUGGGUAUAAUAGACAAUAGACAUUCAGCAGAGACAGGGCGCUAUCUAUCUCCCCCAGUGGCCAGCAGCCUCCAUAACGUCACGCCCUGUUUAUCCAGAAACUUUACCCAUGGUAAGUCUCUGGAAGGAAGAAAAGAGCGUGCUUCUGAGAAGCCAAAAUGCCAACAAAAACUGUUGGGCAGCUCACAAGCGGCCCACUAGACAAGAGGUGACGAGGCCAUCCCAGGGUCCCCCCCACCGCUGGCCCCCUGCCCUCACUGGCCGCUCGUUCCAGCACGCGCACAUCGUUAGCAGUCAGGGAGGAGGGGAAACGCCUGCUGGCUGCUCCUGUCCUGGACCUUCACCAAGACACUACUGACUAAAAAUAGAAACAAUGUUAAUACUGUAAUUUUGCACGGCGUGUUAUUAGGAUAUCCUUGGUGUUUUUUCCCCUUCUGUGGACACGUUUCCUUCCCCAUUCCUGAGGAAACAGCCAAGGCAGUGAGCUCUCUUGCCCCUGGGAUUACCUACACUUCCGUGUCCUAGUGCCAAACACAGAAGUGUCCUGAUGCAAGGUCUGGUUUUUGGAAGCCUGGGUUUCCCGGGGAGUCAAGCUGGCUCAGCCGGACUAGGAAGCAACCAAGGUGCGGCGUAGUCAGUGAGAAGAGAACCGCCAGAACAGGUGGGGACCCGGGGUGUCACGGGGCCAGGAGUGGGAUCACUUCUUGUCGAUUUUGUGUCUCUGCUGUUCAGUUAGUCCCUGGCCCCAGACACAGAGAUGCUGGGGACUGUGUGACCCCUGAACGCUGAGCGAUGACCUUGGGGAAAGCGAGAGAUUCAGCUCCGACACAGCCCGCCUCAAAACGGGAGGGUGUAGGAUGGACAAUACCUUAUCUGUGGGAUACUUGGGUGCCAAGAGCAGAGAACACUUCUUUGACUGUUUGGAAUGUAUAGAACCUUCUAGAAUUUUGUGCAAGUCCAGAAAGAAUGACUCAAAACAUGACUGAGAUUAAUUUAUAACCAGCAGGUUGAAGAGAAAUUUGCAUCAGAUUUAAUUUAAUUUGGUGAAACAACAGCAUACAAUGGUUCUUCCACUGUGGUCCAAAAUUCUAAUUUAGAGACUGCUGGUGAGAUGAAUUUCCCCGAAGAGGGAAGGAUGUGGAAGGUGAUGCUACAGCCCCCAUCUCCGGUGUGUGGAUUUCUAGGAUAACAGAAACUGUCUUCCCGAGUGAGAAUGGCACGCAAGUCUGCCUUGCAGAAUGCCAGGGACAGGGAUUACCUGUCUUACCUGUGGUACAGGUGCAAAGAGGUUCCAGGUUGUGAGCCCGCUGCCAGUUACAAAAAUGACCUGUCCACUAAAGUCAAAGCUUUCCCCCCAGCUUUACAGUGAUAUAAGUGGCAAAAAAAUGUGUAUGUAUUUAGGGUGCACAACUUGAUGAUUUGAUAUACACCUACAUUGUGAACUAAGCACCACGAUCAAGCUAAUUAACAUAUCCAGCCCAUCACAUAGAACUUAGUCAGGGCAGGAGGGGAGUGGGCAGCUCGCUGCGCCCACGGUGCCCGAGUCUUGGGGAGGAGAAGAGGAGCUGGGGAAGCCUGAGGAAGAGAAGUGGGACGUCCACCCGGGAUCUGUCGCGGGGCGCGCCGGGCUAGCCGGCCCCCCUGCCCGCACCGCUCGUUGCCCAGGCCCAGCGUGGGCUUUGCCCCGAGUGCUGGUGGCAGUCAAGCGGGAGGACAGGCCGGGAAUGAACGCGCAUCUCACCACCCGGGCGUGCUGGGCUCACAGGCGCAGGUGCGGGUGGAGAGGGGCCCGCGGCAGCCCCAGGUGUCCUCUCACACAUGCCCCAGGCCUGCAGAAACGCUGCGCCUGGGCCACUCCACCUCUGCAAAGCUGUUUUAGACCUUCGCCUCCAAGUCCACGCGGAGUGAGAUUAAGGAAGGAAAAUCUAUUGAGAUGAUUCUGUGGGACUUCUCCUGUUAAAAUAAACCUCAUCAUUCCCUGAGCUCUUUGAUACUAAGGAAGUGAUCACCACAGGCUUUGAAACCAGGCAGCUCGGGGUGCCUGUCCCACUCUCCCUGCUUGCUGAGGCAUGGUCUCUGCCAUCUUCUCUGCUACUCCAGCUUCUUGGUCAUCCUGCAGAGAUGCACGUGCCUCCCAUCUGCCAUCCGACACUGUGAGCAGCAGACGGACUUCACACUGUCAUUGCCAGGCUUGCUGCGGCCCACGGUGAUUUUUCAAGGGAGGCAGACACAGACUCACUCAUUCCUUCUCUUUCUUCCUUGCUCUGAAAGAUUCUACGAAAACCACAUUAAAAAGCGUGUAAGCUGAGCAACUCCAUCUAUCAAAGGAAGGUCAUCAGCAGGGUCCACUCCAAGGAUACACUGUGUGUUACCAGCUUUCCACACAAAGCAUGAAGACCAGCGUCCUCUUCAUGGACCUAAUCUCCAUUUCACCCCCAAACAGCAUCUGCCUGAAAGCUGGGACACAAAAUCUUUCCUCUAUCAGAAGAAUUUCAUUUGCUGCAAUGCAUGUGGCAAACAUUCAGGGCCCAAGACAUUCUCUGAACAGCCAGGUUCUGUUUGGUGUCACUGGUGGUGAUUGUAGGUCGUUUGGUGCUGGGCCCAUUCUGCAGAUUGGUCCUGUUCACAUGGCAUAAGCCCCUGGCCUGCCCGGAAUGCUGCCUGUCUGACCUCCUGGAAAUCUUGCCGUCGCCAGAAUUGUGCUAGCUCAAGGCUCCCCCUACCUCCCAACCCCAAGACAUGGCUGCAUUCCCAGGGAGGGGCCCUGAUGUGCUGGGUCUGCCUCCCACCAUGUCUGCUGUCUUCCGAACCAAAGGAGGUUGGUGCACACCCAGCCCAGCCCAGAGGCAGCUCAACCCACCCCAGAGACAGCGAUGGGCCGCAGUGGCCCAAGCCACUAUACCGUGGUGGCCUGUGGGAGGACCACUGCCCUGUGUUAUGAAUAGGGAAGCUAAGGUCAUUGCUGAUGUGUGCUGGAUACAAAGGAAGUGCAAGUCAGAGAUCCUUGUCCUGCGGCCUCUCUUGAAAAAUGACCGAUCCGAGAAGCUAUAAAUGGAACGGUGGGAAGAGGUUUUCCUGUACCUGGGAGAUGGCUCCCUGCCAGGCUGGCCCAUUAGACACCUGCUCCUGUCUGUGUGCAGGCCCCCCACGGCCCCGCCCCCUGGACACACCGCCCUCUGCUGUCCCCUUGCAUCGCCCUUGACAUCGCCCUUACUGUGCGCUCCUCCUGCAGGCUCAGGACCCCCGUGGAUGCCCUCAUCCUGCAAUUGUUUGGUUCUUCCAUUAUCAGCUCGAAGCUCGCUCAGUCUAUGGGGCUGAGAAAGCAUUUUUAUUAUAUCCUUUUAAUUAUUCAGAUAAAAGGUUCCUAGACCCUGAUUUAUCUCUGCUGCCUAAAGAAAAAUGGAGAGUUAAAUGCAAUUCCACUUUGAAAAUUACAACCUUAAAAACAAAAUUAUGGCUCAACUGAAGGUGUCCAGGGAAAUGUGCCCAUUGAAUAAGCUUGAUGAUUUUUAUCAUUUCAAGUACAUUGCCAUUACCAUCAUUUAUUAACCAUGUUAGAGACCAGGAACUGGAUAUUAUUAGUUCACCUUUUCAGAUAAGCAAGGGUGCUCACAAUCUCCUAGAGUGGGAUCUAAUUUGGUGGCUGGAAGAAAAAAGGAGAAAGAUCUUACAAGAAAGAUCUGGUUUCUAAAUCACACAUAACAAACAUCUCGUGAAAUCAUGGAGAAGAGUAGAGGCCUGAAACGGUCUCACGUUUAUGUCCCGUGAGAAGCAGCUCAGUUCCGUGGGGAAGUAGUUUGACAUCAAGGAUUCAGUCUCAUGCCUCACACAGACACAGACACACGCACACAGACACGCACACACAGACGCAUACACAGAGACACACACAGACACACACACACACACAGGCUCUAGGAGGGUCCAAGCAAAAUGUCCCUGUGCAUCAAGAAAAGGGCAACAUCUGCUGACUUGCGGCCCUGUGCUCUGGGGGUCCCAUGCGGCUGGACUAGGCCACCAUGCAGGAGCUUGAGCAUGCCGGACCCUGGACCCAUGCCCCCUCUUUCCAAAGGCCCUGUGGGGCUGGUGCGCCCACAGCACACCCCGAGGUUUAGCGCCUCAGUGUCUCCAGUUUCCUCCAUCCCAGUGAAGCUUCUCAGUUAUGCUCACAAUUUUUUCAUUUCCUAAGACUCACCCAUUCCCACAGUCCCUCACCGAGGGCUCUACCAGUUUUCUCAGUAUUCCCACUGACACCCAAGACUUUAAUUUCCAAUUUUAUGCUCACGAUGUUGACACCUUUAUAUCCCACUCACAUCUCUCUGUGGAAUCCCAGACACACGGUUUCAAAGUCUGCAGGUCAGUUCUGCCUGAGAAUAACCAAGGCCCCUUGACCUCCCCUCGACCCCGCAGGUGAUGUGUCCGUGUUCUUCUCUCCCGGCCUUGUCCUGCACCACUUGAUGCUUCUCAUGUUGUCUGUCUUCAAUCAGUGGCGUUCCCAUAAUUAGCCCAAACUAGAAAUCUAGUCCCUUCACACACACACACACACACACACACGCACACACACACACACCUCUAAUUUAUUUACUAAACUCUGUUUCUUCUGCUGCUGCAAGAGUUCUGGUGUCCUCUCUUCCCUCUGACGGCUGUCACUCCCGGCUUCCGACCCCCACCAUUCUUGCCCACAAAGCAAAAGCACCUGACCUGUUUCCAUAUUUGGGUCACUCUUCACCCUCCAACCUGUCUCCCACCUGCCUCCAGAAUUACUUUUCACACAUCAAGCUUUGUUUCCCAGCAGUUAAAGAAUAAGCUUCUUAGCUUAUUACACCUGUGCUUCCAACCUCCCUGCACACCUGUGCAGGCCCCUGGUCACCCGACCCCCUUCAAAACCCGUGCCAGUCCCAGAGGCUGCGCUCUGGGUUUGCAACUUGGAAUACCUUUCUUUUCCUUUGGUUGCAAAAUACAUUUUCAAGACCUCUGUAAAUGUUAUUUGUACUACAUGCCACAUGGUAUAUGCUAUGUGAUGUGUGCUCUGUGGUAUAUGCCAUUUGGCAUGUACUGUAUAGAAUGUGCAAUCAGAUCUGGUGAAUCAAAGUAAAAGGCUCAUCACAUUCUCACUUCUGCCUCCAACUCCGGGCGUCCUGCCCUUUGCCACGCGCCACUGCAGCAAGUUCCAGGUAAACUAGGUGGCGCUGAAAUUGGGAGGGUCUGGGAGCCUCUGUGUGACUGAUGUCUCGGGCACUGGGAUGGAGCCCAGCUCAGACUUCUCCUCUGUGCGCUGAGCCAAAUGGCCUGCCAGGGAGACCACGGACUCACCUAACUCCUGUUCUUCUCUGGCCCUUUGCUUCACCCGCACACUUCCAGGUCUCGGCUUUCCCAUGAAGUGCUCCAGGCUCCCUGAUACUGUAAAAGCCCACAUAGUGCAGGAGGUGGGAGGCGCACCGGAAGGGAGCCGCUCCCGUGACCUGCCCUGGGUGCAGUUGACUUGUACGCCUACGCAGAGGACGGGCUUCACUCUGACUCGCUGUGGCACUUACAUAAUACUGGUUUCACAUUUGUUUCCUGCAUCCUGACCAAAAUAAGGUGUAAUAGUCAUAGAUGAUGUCCCGAGAGGUUUUGGCCAUUCUUACUUACAAUCACUAAUUGAAGGUGUAAGUCAUAAGUACACAUCUCGCAUGAUAUUGCAUAAAGUGUAUCGAACUUUAGCGGGAAAAGAUCACCUGGGAGACCCUGAGAAGCAUAGCUGGCCUGAGCUCUAGAGACCCUGAGGUACCAUCUGCCUUCCGUUAGAGAUACCCUGCCUCCAGCAAGAGAAUGUAAGAGCAGAGAAAAAAGCGAAGGACAGACAAUAAAUGUGGACAUGAUGAGCACAGCUGUUUUAUGGCUCACGGAAGCCCUGUGUCUGCAGAGUCAGGAGUCUCAGUGAGUCGGAAGAAGGAGAGAUGCAAAUAAAUCCAUUCCUGAACUAUGAUCACAGUGAAAUUGAAUGCUACCAAAGAGGAGGAUGCGAUCUUAGAAAAACACAGAGAAAAGACAGAGCAUCUACAACAAACUGUUGUCUGAUAGGAGACUUCUCAACAAUGCUCAGGGAGGCAGAGAGACCCAUGCAGGAAGUCUUGACUGCCUGAGAGAGGGGGACAUGCCAAACGGCCAAGGGAUCCGUCCCUGCCUGUUGGCGGAGCUCAGAGCUAGUUACAUUGGCCUAUUCAUUCAGCACCAGGAGAGGUAAUUCCGGCGCCCCUGGCUGCAGUGUCCUCAUGGGGCAGUUGGCAGUGCUGACGGGUGGCUCGAGGAGUCCAUGCAAGUUAAGAGAAGAGGGACCCUGACUGCUGUCAGAUGAAAAACACCUUUUAAGGACAAAGAUAAGUGUAACGUGCCUGGCUGAGUCUCUGUAUAGCGCUAUGUAGAACUGAGGUGUUUUUAUUUCUCCCCUGAAAUUAUGUUCCUUUCCAGCAGUUACUCCAAAGGCUGAGCCAUACAGAUUCUAGCCCCAGAGCAGGAGAGAGCAGGUGGCAAGGUGUUUUAGGGACUCUAAAUUUUUAAUGUUGAUUUUCUUGAUCUCAUCAGAAUCAGAGAGAUCACAGAGAGAGAAGACAUUGUCAUAUUUUAAAUCCCCCCUUCUGUAUAUCAAGGCUUAGAUUUGAUCACAGAAUUUUCUGCAGGUAGGUCCAUGAGAGUGGAGAGAGGGAGGCAGAGAGAAAGACAAGGAGACUGAGAGGGAGAUGUGCUGAGGCUGUCUAGUCGUCCAGGGAGGGGGUGAGGAGGGGAAACAUGGGCAGGGCCAGGAGGGUGAGGGGUGCAGGUGAACGAUGGUAGGUGGGCUACAACAGCUCUUUGCUCAGCUAUCUGUAGGGCUUGAUUUAUUGUGCCUUUUCUUUAAUAUCACUUCCUCAGGAAAAUCUUCCCUGGUCAUCUUGAAUAAAAUAACAUACGCCCCCUCCUCUGUCUCCUUCUCUUUUUCAGUUAAGCUUGCUUUGUCUGUAAACACCCUCCCUCCUUACACUGGACAUCUACAUCUGGGUGGGGUCACUGUCAGCCCUCUUUCUGGAAUGCCUUAUCCCUUGCUCUCUCCCAGAGCCUGGGCGUGGCAUACGUACCACACUGCCCAUACAGACAGUGGACGAGGGGAAAGCUGCAAUCUGAAGGGGCUUAGCUUGGCCUGGUCUCCAGGACCGCCGCAGGGAAGACCUCACAGAGUGCUCCGUGCACCAGCAUAAGGAAACCAUGUCACGUCCAGUUAGCACAGCCGGCCAGAGGGGAGGCUGCCCACAGGGACCUACCUGAAGGAACGCAGUGACAUGAAAGUCAACCUACAUGAAAGACAGAAUGGAUCUGUGUGUGCGGGUCUAACAAGGAUUGGUUGUGAGCUCUCAAGGCCAUGGGAACCUGAUCCAGAAUCCACGGAGUUUCGCUUGUUCAGUUACACAGUGAGCGCCAUCGUAAUUAGAAAUACAAUUAUGUGGAAAGAAAUCCACUUCCUUUUCCUCCUUUAACAAAUAAAGACGUGCAUUUUGCAUUAACAGUAAGGAAUAAAUAAUAAGCUAGAAUAGAAAUUAUGACACAAUGGUGUAAUGUCUAUAGAUUUCUAUGGUCCC